This is a long non-coding RNA of Camelus dromedarius (Arabian camel), 12631 nucleotides long. RefSeq lists it as uncharacterized. The record is from RefSeq and is a predicted model, not a curated record. The transcript has 6 exons. Lineage: Eukaryota; Metazoa; Chordata; Mammalia; Artiodactyla; Camelidae.
GGACCCACAUCCUGAUGACAGUUCUGAUAUGUAAGCCAACACAACACAGGUGGCUUCCAGUGAUCGUAACUCUGAGAGACAAGUUUAAGGCCUGGUUCUGAGACAGUUUCCUGUCCGGGCCCGUCUAAUACUCUGCGUUUUUCAGGUUCCAAGAAGGCCUCUCUGCAUUGCCUAGCACAGCACUUAAAUGAACCCUUUCUGCCUAGCAGCGCGGCCGGCACAGUGGCCACAAACGCCAGUCACGAGAAUGGUGAUGAUGUCUCUUGCGUGAGGUUGGAGGACAAAGCUUGCGACACGCUGAGCUGCUGUCGCACCGCCUACGCCGUCACUUACGUCCUGCCGCAAAAGGCCUCUUUCCACGCCCCUCAGCUCGGCUUCCUACCUCAAUUCUAGGCUACACCGUCUCCUCCGGCCGUAAAGCGACCCUGCCGAGGCUGCGCGCUGCGGUCCGAGGGCGCGCGCCUUGGGCGGGGCCCGGGGCGACUCCGCCCCCUCGCCCGGCCCGGAGGAGUCCAUCCGGAAGGAGAAGGCCGGGCGGGGCUGCGGGACGGCCUGGCGGGGCGGGGCUGGAAGGCGGGCUGGGAGAAUCGCGGAGACCAAGCCCACCAGAGGCUGCGGGGAGGAGGGGGGGGGGUUUCCAGUGGGGAUUUCCCGGGUGUGUCAUUUCCUUCCCUUGUUGAUCGUGGUAACGUAGUUUCUGAUCACUGAUUGUAAGGGUUAUUGUCACUCUUGGUUAGAAGUCUCACCUUACACGGGGGACACCACGCAACUGUAUAAAACCAAUUUAGAAGUAGAAAGCAGGCUGGUGGGGCGGGGAGGAGGGACAACCUGCAUGGGCUUCAUUGUCAGGCAUAUUACAUGGACAAUUACAGAAAUAAACAACUCAUGCUUUAACUUGUGCACCUGUUCUGAGCAGCAUGAUGAUAUCUCUUGCUGACCCUCCUUCUGACCUAUUGUCAGAAGGUCAACAGAAGCCUAACUGUAGUCACAAUGCAGAUGUCACUCCCCUUACUUCAUCUCAUCGAGUAGGCAUUUUAUCAUCUCACAUUAUCACAAGAAGGGUGAUGAUACAGAACAAUAAGAUAUUUUGAGAGAGAGACCAGAUUAACAUAACUUUCAUUACCCUAUAUUGUUGUAAUUGUUCUAUUUUAUCAUUAGUUAUUGUUCUUAUUCUCUUGCUGAGCCUAAUUUAUAAAUUAAACCUUAUCAUAGGUAUGUACGUAUAGGAAAAAACAGCAUAUAUAGGAUUCGGUACUAUCUUGGGUUUCAGGAUCCACUGGGGGUCUUGGAAAGUAUCCCCAGCAAAUAAGAGGGGAUGACUGUAAUGUGAAUCAGACACAAUCUAUGACCCAUGAACCUACGUGGCUCCACAUGAUCAUUAUUCUUUUACAUGUUUUCAGAGGCUGUAGUCAAGCUGCUGGUCUAUAGUCUUGAAACUUCAUUUUUUUCUCCUUUUUGAAACCUGAGUGCACUGCCUGUGUGUAGUUUCUUUGAGCCCAGUGUAUUUAUUUUGUUAUCCUAUCCAUGAUAAAUUCUCAAGAGAUGCUUUGUUCAAUGAAUUCAUUCAAUAAAUAUUGGUUGAGCACUUACUCUUAAGAGCUGAAGCUGAAAGGGGGAACAAAGCAGGGAGUCAGUCCUACCAAAGCUCACAUUCUUGGGGGGCCAGGAGGGUGGGCGGAAGGAGAUGACAGCAGGCAGAUAAGCUUGAAGGAGGAGAGGAGUUUUAACAGAUGGAGAGGUAACAGGAUAGCCCAGCUUCUGUGUCCAGGGAAUGAUGAGUCAUUUUAUAUGGCAACUUGACUGGGCCAAGGGAUGCCCAGAUAGCUGUCUGUAAGGGUGUUUCCAGAAAAGAUUUGAGUUGGUGGACCGAGUACAGUCGAUGGCCCUCCUCAGUGUGGACUGGCACCACGCGAUCCACUGAGGGCCUGAGUAGGUCAAGAAGGUGGAGGAAGGUUGAAUUUGCUCGCUGCCUGACUGAUGGGGCUGGAACACUGACUUGUCCUGAUCUUGGCCUUCCUAGUUCUCCGGACUUCAGACUCAGACUAGAGUCUAUACCAUGUGUUCCCUAGCUCUCCAGCCUUCAAAUGAUACCACCAGCUUUCCUGGGUCUCCAGCUUGCAGAGAGCAGAUCGUGGAAGUUCUCAGCCUCCAUAAUUUUGUUGUUUCCUUCUGAAGCACUGUGACAGAACUGGAUGGUCCGACUUCUCAUUGCUGGUUUCCAGGGUGCGCUCAGACGAUGGACAGAACUCGUAAGCAUCAGUGCCUCUUUGUGUUUGUGCAUUUGUUGCUAAUUUCAAAUCAGCUUCUGUUUCAGAAGUGUGCGUGUCUUGACUGCAUUUUGAGAUAGCAUCUUUAGCCUACCUGAAUUGACAGCAUCUGUUCCUUCCCAUUUGGGUCCCAGCAUCCAAAGCAACAUGUGCCCCAGUUUCAGAGAGCAGGCGAAACACAUGCCUGCCAGUCACGCUGAACCCUGUCCUCUCGAAAGAACUGUUCUCACCUGCCCUUUUGUUUCAUUCAUUGCGGAGAAGUGUGGGUCCAACAAUGUCAUUAACGGGGUCCUUUGUGUUAAUAAACACAAUAGUUUGGGCUAACCAGUAGUUUGGGCUAAUCAUGCAGCCCUCUCAUCUCUGAAUUUGGCUGGUGGUGGCAGGCUGGGAGAUUUCAGACUCUCUUCAGCAGCACAGAGCAGAAUCGUCAGGCUGGAUGUGAGGCUGUCUUCGUGGGGCUGCAGCCUGUGUGGUUGCCCAGGGCUCUGUGCUUACAAAGACCCCAUCCUUGCCUAAAUGUUCUGCUGUUGUCAUCCUGAAAUUCUUCACUGGGGGUCCAUGCCUGGGAAGAAUAAGAGGGCAUCUGGUGGGAACACACCAUCACCAUCCUGGGUAGAUGUGGCCACGAAAGAAAAAUGCACAACCUACAAGGUUUGAGUUGUGUUUUAUUUGGGGAACUUACUGAGAACUAUAGCCCGGGAGAUGGCCUCUCAGCGAGCUCUGAGGAAUUGUUCUGAAGAGGUAAGAGAUGAGCCAGGAUAUAUAGGAGUUUUUGUUUAAAAAAAAAAACCAUGUAGUCAAACAUCGAAAGAUUAUUGCUAAUCACAAAAACUGGUCAUCUUAAGUUAGUGAUUUUAGUGCUUUUCUAUGUGUGGGAAGAUGAAAGCGUCUGGGCUCAUUGAAACUAUUCCUUAGAUUUGCAGGUGCCUGGGAAAGGGUGCAGCUAGAGGGUAGGGUUGCUUACCUGGAAUGCCAUCAGACAGUCACAGUUUUGCUAAGAGCUGGUCCAGGACAAGACAGCCCUAUAUUGUGUCUAAUCUGCAGGGAAAUUCCCUUUCUCCGCUGUCUCUUAGUGGCUGUCAGAGUAGUCAGUCAUGAGACAGGACCGCGGAGAACAGGACAAGGGCCAGGUGAGCCUGGGCCAGGCAGAGGAAGAAGGGAGAGUCUAAAGCAGGCUGUGCUUCUGUGUGAUGCUCUCUAACAGGUAGGUGGGGGAAGGACUUGGGAAGGGAGAACAGGAGAAGAUAAACUUUUCCUACUCCGCAGUUGAACUGGCAUGGUUCUGCCACAACCAAAAAGGCUCCUUCAGAAAUGAGCAAAGCCUCAGAACCAACUGCUGCAGGAUUGGAUGCAGCUGAGGAGAGGUGGCUGGGUUUGCGGGUGUUAAAGCCCAGGUGUUCUCUGGUAUGUCGCACGUCCUGCCAGAUGAGGUGUGUCCCUGUGGAAAACAGGCCCUUCAUCCCACGCUUCUGAGGAUGAGGUUGCAAUAAAGUUGAAAUGAGAUCACUCGGAAAGUGUUCCUAACUCAGCUUCUGGAUGUGAGCUCGCUUACCCUUCUGACAUUAUCUUUCAUUCAUUCAUCUAUUCAUUCAUCCAUAAAUAUUUAUUCAGUGUCUACUCUGUCAGGUGAUGCUGGAUGAGGUUGUUGGAAAUUAUCCUGGAUUUCAGUGAAUCGGGAGAAAUUCGGGGAGGUAGGCAUUGUGGUCAAAGAGCACUCAACUCUGCAAUUCCAAAACUUGAGCUAAUUCUCCUCUUCUUUGACCUGCUCCCCUUCGGGAAUUCUCAAAACGAGAAACUGGUUUCCCCUCUUUAAUUAGUCACCUUCAAUUAGUCAUUGCAUCUUUGCCUGUCUGUCUCCAAAAUCUCUCUGAAACUGUUCUGUCUCUUUUCCCACGACUCCUGUGUUGCUCUGGGACUUAUUCCCAAUCAGCUGGACCUAUAGACCUUCCUCAGCUUCCUUCCUCAGCCUCGCGUGCUUCUGUUCCAACCGUCACACCUCUACCAGAAUGAUCUAUCCGUUUAUUUUUUGGGGGGUGGGGGGAAAUUGAACCCAGGACCUCCUGCAUGCGAAGCAUGUGCUGUACCACUGAACUGUACCCACCCAUCCAGAAUGAUCUCUCCAAAAUGAAAAUUUAACUGUGCCCUACUCCUGUUUAAAUGGCCUAUCUGCCUACAUGAUACAUUUCAAGGUUCCUAGGUGAGUAUUAUGGGUUGCAUUGCACCGCCUCCCCCCAAAAAAGGUAUGUUGGAUUCCUACCCUCCACCAGUCUCUCAGAAGGUGACAUUACUUGGAGAUCAGGUUCUCAGAGAGGUGAUCAAGUUAAAAUGAAGUCAUGACGGUGGGUCCUGAUCCAAUAUGGCUGGUGUUCUUAUAAGAGGAGAGAUUGGAUACAGAGACAGACGGAUCCUCAGGGCGAAUGCCAUGUGAAGACUGGAGUUAUGCCACGAGCCCAGGAACCACGUGAAGCUAGGAGAGGGGCCUGGGAAAAAUCCUUCCCUAGCAUCUUCAGAGGGAGCACAGUCCUACUGACACCUUGAUCUCAGGCUUCUAGCUUCCAGAAUGGGGAACAAUCAUUUUCUGCUGUUUGAGCUGCCCAGUUUGGGGUGCUUUGCACUGGCAGUCCAAGCAAACUAAUACGAUGAGAGUCCCAUCUUCCAGGGCUUUUACUUCAUUUAUUCCUGCCACAAAUAUGUGUCAAGAACUGAUCAUAUGCAGGUACUGUGCUGGUUCUUGGGAUAGAGCUGGAAAUAAGACAGGUGGUCCUUGCCUUGUGGAACUUUUGCUCUGGUGAGGGCUGUAACAAGUGCCCAGGCCCUCGGAAUGAGGGGUAAGAGGUCUCUGAUUCAUAUGGUCCUGAGCGCACAAAAGCAGGAAUCAAAUCAGUACUUGGAAGGCUAGAGAGAGGUUCUCAGAAGAAGUGACAUCGAAUCUUGUUGUGAUAAGGACCCCCCCCCCUUGCCUACAAAAUGUUUUAGAUGAACUAUGAAGAAAGUGGGAAGAAGAGAAGAAACUAAGGUGAAUUCUGCAAACCACCCUGGCCGCCCUCUGAGAUUAUACUUUUGGGCAUGAGUUUUCCCAUGUGGUGUGAAGAAGCCCUCUUAGUACUUUGGUCCACACUGUGGGUACAGGUACCAGAACGUACCUACCAAGACGGAACUGUGCUAUGUACUACCUUCUGCUUUCCCUCUACCGGCCAGCUUUCCAUCAUGCUCCCUUUGGAGGCAGGCCUUGUCAUUUCUUUUCCCCUUCAAAGUUGGUCUUGUUCAUUUUAACCAGAUAUCAACUAUUUUAAUAACAUGGCAAAGAGAAUGAGAAGACAAGCUCCAGAGUGGGAGAAAAUAUUUGCAAAAGACAUCUGAUAAAGGAAUGUUAUCCAAAAAUAUACUAAGAACCCUUAAAACUCAAUCAUAGGAAAAGGAACGACCUGAUUUAGAAAUGAGCAAAAGACCUGAAUAGUCACCAAAGAAGAUAGACAGAUGGCAAGGAAGCAUAUUAAAAGCCAGCACAUCACAGAUCAUCAGGGGCAUGCAAAUUAAAACAACAAUGAGCUAUACACCUAUUAUAGUGGCCAAAAUCCAGAACACUGACAACACCAAAUGCUGAAGAGGAUGUGGAGCAGCAGGAACUCUCAUUCAUUGCCAGCGGGAAUGCAAAACGGUACAGCCACUUUGGAAGACAAUUUGGCAGUUUCUUAUAAAACUAAACAACUCUUACCAUCUGAUCCAGCAAUCAGACUUCUUGGUAUUUACCCAAGUGAAUUCAGAACUUAUGUCUAUACCUGCCUACGGGUAUUUCUAGCAGCUUUAUUCAGAAAUGCCAAAAUUUGGAAGCAACGAAAGAUGUCCUUCAGUAGGUGAGUGCAUAAUAAACUGCUACAUCCAGACGAUGCAGUAUUAGCACUAGAAAGAAAUAAGCUAUCAAGUCAUGAAAAGACACAGAGGAGCCUUAAAUGCAUAUUACUCAGUGAAAGAAGUCAAUCUGUAAAUGCUAUGUACUGUAUGAUUCCAAAUAUAUGGCAUUAUGAAAAGGCAAAAUUAUGAUGACAAUAAAAAGAUCUGUGAUUUCCAGGGGUGAGGGGGCAGGGAGGGAUGACAGGCGAAGCACAGAAGAGUUUUAGGGCAGAGAAGCUAUUCUGUAUGAUACUACAAUGGUGGACCUCUGUUGUUACACAUUUGUCAAAAACCCAUAGGUUGUGCAACACCAAGAGGGAGCCCUAAUGUAAACUGUGGACUGUGGGUCAUGGUGAUGUAGCAGCGUAGACCCAUCCGUUUUAACAGAUGCACCCCUGUGGCGCAAGGAAGUUGGACCUGUGUGGGGACAGAGGGCAUAUGGGAACUCACUAUUUUCCACUCAAUUUUGCUAUGAACCUAAAACUGCUCUAAACAAUAAAGUUUAUGGCUUAAAAACACAGCGAAAUGAAACACACAGGUGAAUUUGAGUUGUGUGUGGGAACUGUCAUCUCUCCAGGUUUCGUGCCUUUCUCCCGCUGCACAUCCCCAUGGAUAGCAUUCCCAGCCGUUUCUUCUGCUUCACCUCUGGCUCCUGUUUCCUUACUUUCCUUAGUUCCUUUCACUCCGUCAGAGUCCAAGGAAUGUCAAUUUCCUAGAAUGAUGUUUCUGCUAACGUCCAAUUUCCAGGGAAAAUACUCUCUUACUUUUCUGAUGCCCCGUAAACUUUAACUCCCUCUCCAAAUCUCUCAAAGCCUUCCCAGUUCUCACUGUCACUGGUUUAAUUCUAUUUAAUUGGGUCUGGGCUUUAUAUAUCGCCAUCUGGCUUCAAUAUGUAUGCUUUCAGUAUCUCUUAAUAUGUUAUCUCCUAGACCCGGAGCAUUUAUAAAGGUGUCUCAAAUGGAAUUUCAUUAAAAACAGAUGGAUCUUCUUUGAACCACUGCCUUAUCAAUGAACAAUACCAGCUGUCUCGCUAAUGCAAUCCCAGAGAAGAGAGACACCAUCUAAUGUAACGCCUUCCUUCUGUAGAUGAAUAAACUGGGGGCCAGAGAUGUUUAUGUGACUUUCCAAAGGUCACACAGCUAGACAGUGACAACACUGUGCUUUGAGUCAGAAGACCUGAGUUCUAGUCCCGGUCCAGUUUCCAUCAGUUCGGGCUGCUCCCAACAGCCUUUAGAUGUGUGGACGCAAAGUGAUGGCUACACAGUGUGAGAUUUCCCCAUCAGACUGUGAGGUCUUCAAGGGGACCUCGAGAGUGAAGUCUGCAUCCUUCUGCUGUCAGUCUGGGAGCACAAAUGAGUGAUGAUCAUCCCUUACGCUGAUUCCUCCGGGGGCCUUCAUACAGAUCACUGAGGAGAACUAUAACAUUUCAAGAUCUCUCCAACAGAGGAUGACUAGCAAGAAUUCCAGUGUGGAGAUCUGUGAAGAGUUUGACAUGGGGGAAAAAGCAAACUGUCAUCUUGAUAAAUAUGGGCUACAGAAGGCAUUCAUUCCAAUCUAAAUCAUUAAGGAAAUAACCGCAAGAAAUACAAAAUACAAGCCAGCUCUCUCCACCUGAUUUUCCACGCCUUUAUAGCUCACAGGGAACCACACAUGAACCUUUGCCUGGGUCAUCCCAGGGCCAUCUUUUCCUUUACUGUCCAAAUAAAGUGACAUGGCCAAGAAGAACUUCUUAGACUCCUACAGGAACCAACGUACUAGUUAAGCAAAUGUCUCUGGGAAGCUCUCUGAGCUAACUUUUCCUUUCCCGGGUUGCCCUGCUGUUUGGUUCGAGGCUGGAUGCAGACAGAAUUUUCUGGAGUGCCCAGCCUGGCAUCAGAUGAGCAGGCAAGCUUAACGGGGGGCUGCCGGAAAAAAUCACCACAAACUGAGUGGCUUAAAAAUGACAAAACUUUAUUCUCACAGUGCAGGGGGCCAGGAUUCUGAAAUCAAGGUGUCUCAGGAUUGGUUCCAGCUUGGAGUUCUGAGAGAGAAGCCGACCCACCCCUCUCUCUGAGCUGCUGGUGGGUGUCGGCAAUCCGAGUGGUCCUCAGCUCCUAGACAUAUUACACCAUCCGAUCUCUGCCACCAUCUCCAGGUGGUCUACAUCUCUGUUUUCUUAUCUUAUUAUAAGGCCAUGCAUCAUUGGAUUUAGGACCCACUCUAAAUCCAAGGUGAUCUCAUUUCAAGAUCUGCAAGAUCUUAUUUCUAAAUAAGGUCACAUUCCCACUUACCAACAGAAAGGACUUGGGUAUAUCUUUUGGGCGGACGCUAUUUAACCACUAUAAGUAUUACUGCUGAUAAUACUGUACAAUUCAGUGCUUGACUUUCUACCGUGGACCUGGGGUCUUUUGCGAUCAUGUGCAGUCUAAGUCUUGACCAUGAGGCCUUAGACAAGUCAUUCAACUCACCUGGUUUCAGUUUCUCUUUUUCAGCAGAAAAAGAGAUGAUUGGCCUAGUUCUCACAUUUUGGUUCACAUUAGAAUUUAAAAAUCUCAUUGCCUGGGCCACAUGUCGUAUCAAUUAAACCAGAAUCCCUUGGGGGUGGGGCUUAGUCAUUAAUAUUGAAAAAAAAAAAGUACAGGGAAUAGAGCCAGUAUUUUAUAAUAGCUAAAAACAGUAUAACCUAUAAAAAUUUUGUUACUACGUUGUACACCUGAAACCAAUACUGUAAAUCAACUCUACCUCACUGAACAAACUCUUCAGGGGAUUCCAAUGCACAGUGAGUUGGAGACUAGUGCUUCUCAGCUUUACAUGUGCAUGUGGAUCACCAGGCUGAGGGUGGGGUGGAAUCUCAGGGUGUGGGGGGAGGAUUUUGUGAAAAUGUAGAUUUCCAUUCAGCAGGCUUGGGGUGGGCCUAAUACUCUGCAUUUCUAACGAGUUUCCAGGCCACCCUGCGUGACCUCCCAACACCUUUGCAAGCUCUUACAUCAUCAGAUUCACUUUCCUGCUGUGGAAGGUUUCUAGUCUGUGAUGGAGUGAGGGAGAAGCAACAUCUGUAACAGGAAAUAGCUUUUUCUGCGAGAAGGUUCAGUUUGGAGGUGAAUCCGUCUGCUAUGGAUAAACGGACUCAGACUCAAAUGACACUGUUUAGAAACAGUUUAUCUAAACGGAAGUGAGCAUCCAGCCCUGUGUGUCCUGCCCCGGGUCCCGGAAGGCCUCUGCUUAGUGUAACAAGCAUUCAUACGGCCUCCUGGAGACCUCUGGAUGGACAGCGCCCUUGCAGCAAACUAACAUGCCAAAACAGCAGCGGCCAGGAUGUAAAGUCUCCAGGACGGGUCCUGGAUUCUCAGCAGUGAUUUUCACCAAUGGCAGGGUUUUAGGGUCACCUGGGAAUGUCCAGUGACGUCCACGCCCCGGCCCUGGAAAGGCCCAUUAAAACAGUUUUUCUGGGGUGAGGCUUGAGCAAUGGUCUGCUUUAACUCUGCUCCAAUGAUUUCAGUGUGCCCUGGGGACGCUUCACAGGUUCUCUGGAUCCCCCGGUUAUAGGAGGCAUAUCGGGUCCAUGUUCAUAGUCCUGACCACGCGUGAGGCACUGUGUUCAUUGCAGGGGAUUUGAUAGAGAGCAGGAGGGCUUCUAUUCAAGUGGAGGGCAAGUUAUCAUGGAACUUGAUGGAAAACAAGUCAUUGUGGAUUUAUAAAUUUCCGUGGUGAUCACAUGCUAUAAAGGUGAAGGACAAGAUCCUGUAAGAGUUUUGGGGACCCGAUAUUAUGGGGACCAACCCGACUGAAGAGGGCAUCCUUGAAGAAGAGACAUUGGAACAGGGUUCUGAAAGUCAGGAUUUUCUAGGAAAAGAAGUUGGGGGAGAAUGUUCCAGGUGGAGGGAACGGCCUGUGUCAAAGCCUGGAAAAGGGAGGAGCCUGUGGACUGGAGGAGCAGAAAGAGGCGGGUCGGGUACCAAGAGGGAGGAGGGGCGGGGCCUCUUGGGGGAUGCGGUGUCCGCUGGCUUGUAAAUGCUUCAGUAUGUUUCCACUUGUUUAUAUUCUCUCUUUCUCAGGUAAAGUCCUCCAGGCAGAGUGCGUGUGCCUUCUUAUUGCUUCUUUUCUUUUUUUUUUUUCUAAUGGAACGCUUCACGAAUGUGCAUGGCAUCCUUAAACAGGGACCAUGUUAAUCUUCUCUGUAUCCAUCCAAUUUUAGUAUAUAUGCUGCCCAAGGGAGCACCUCUAAUUGCUUUUAACUUUUGUUCUUUCCUCAUCAUCUCCCACCCCUUUACACGAUCACUGAAGUCUACAAGGAGCCCCACCUACAUUUUCUUCACUUAAUUUUUAUAAGGCAGAAGAUUAAAUCAUUGUUUAUAGAAGAGGUAGCUUACAUUUAGAGAAGUUAUGCCACUCAUCCAAGGUUACGGAAUGAGUGGAGACUCCUCCACUUUCUUUUCUUCUUGUUUUUUACUUUUCUUUCUUUUUUACAAAAUGAAAUAGGAGUAUAUAUACUAUUUCACAAUCUGCCUUUUUCAUGUGCCACGAUCACUCAUUAUAUUAUCCACAUUCUUAAAUAUUCUUCAAGAAUGUGAUUUGUUUUUAAAUGGCUGCUUAGUAUUCUGUUGUUUGGUUAUGUCCUAAUCCAAUCAGGCAAUGCUAUAUUACUAGUUGUUUUCUCUGAUUUUUCUAAAUGAUCGUCCUCAGCAAUGAAAAUCCUUAUACAUAAAUCUUUUUUAUUUAAUUUGCUGUUUACCUUUUCAAAAAUGGAAGUACAGUCAGUUUACAAUGUUGUGUCAGUUUCUGGUGUACAGCAUAUAUAAAUUUUUGAGGACAUUUUUUGAUCAUUUCUUACGGAAAAAAAUUUUAUAGACAGAAUUACUGGGUCAAAGGCUAUGUAUGAUUUUAAAGUUUCUUAUACACAUGGCUAAAUUGCCUUCCAGACUGAUGGAACAGAUUUAACUUCUCAUCAGCAGUGUAUGUGGUUGCCUGGGGAAAACACUUCAGUCAAGCAAGGCCAAUUGAUCUGUAGCACUUUGAUUGCCGAGAUUAUUUCACUCAAAGUAAAUGAAACAUCUUGUUUCAUGAUGGGCGAUGGAGCGCUUCAAAGCCUGGACCCAACCCUUGCCCUUGGGUAACGCUCACCUCUUCCCCAUAUCCGCUGAGGCUCCUUUAGGUCCAGGUGGCUUUGCUAAUGUUUUUCUGGGUCUAUUCUCCCCUUUUUUGCUUCCCGCUUACAAUCCUUCUGAUCGUCUAGAUCAAGCUUGGGUAUCUCUUGAAAUAUUUGUAAGAUGCAUGAGCACAGGUUUACCAUCGUCCCUCAAUAAUUAGAUUUGUUACCUUAAAUAAUUUUCCAAUUUCAAGAAUUCCAUUUUUAUCAUCACUGAAAUCAAGAUUUUUAAUGUUGGAAGGGACUCUGGUGGUCGUCAGGCCCAUUCAUUCCAUCUGCAGCAACCAACUGGUGAUGGGUGAAUGUCUGGAUGUCCAUUACCUGAUGAGUGAUUGGUACCAUUUUUGGUCCUUGAAGUGGUUACCCAGAGAACCAGUCUACUUUCCUUCAGGCUUCAAGAAAUUGGGCAAUAUUUGAAACAUACAAAAAUGCAGAAAAUAAUGUGACACUAAUUGUCCUACCAUGCGUAUUUACCCAGUGUGAGUCUUCUGUUAUAUUUGUUCUAGAAAUUUCUUUAAAAAGAGAAAUAGAGAGUUCUAAAUAUAGUCACUCCAACUGCUUAUUUUCAAGAUGGUCGUGACUAUUCUAGGCCCUUUCAUUUUCAUAUAAAUUACAGAAUAAAGUUUUUCUAAUGUGAAAAUUUAAUUGUAUGUCUGUGGACCCUUGAAAGUGUUUUGUGAACAGACUGCUUGGCUGCUUUGCUCCAUUUCGUGUUGGAAUGUUACUGUUUUGGUGUCAAUUUCUAAUUGCUCUUUCUUGUUAUACAUGUUAAAAUUGUUAUUUGCAUUUAUUUGUUUACCUUUCAAUUUUGUUUCUUUCUUUUUUUAAACAGAAGUGUAAACGUUUUAUUUGGUCAAAUAUAUUGGUCUUCUUUGUGCCUUUUGUUUUGGUGCUAAGCUUAGAAAAACUACCUUUAUCUUAAGAUCAUAUAAAUCUAUUUUAUAGGAUUAAUCCAUUAUUUUAUAAUAGAUGAUAUAAAUCUAUUUUCUUUCAGUCACUUUCACAUUUAACUUUUUAGUAUAGUUAGAAUUUUGGAUAAGUUAUGGGGCAGAGUUCUAACUUUAUUGUUUAUCAUCAUUUAUUCAUCUGUCUUGAUGUUAUUGGUCACCCAUCACUUUCUCAGAUGCUACUUGUAUCUUAUAUCAACACUUACAUGUACUUGGAUUUGUUUUGGGUCUCACUAGUCUAUGACAUUGAUCUGUCCUUUUAUAGUGUAUCACAUUCAUAUGCCAAUAUUAUAACUUUUUGACAAUUUAAAUUUCAUUAUAUAUUUUAAUAACUGGUGAUAUGGCAAUAUGGUUUUAAUUUUUCAUAAUUAUUAUUGUGUAUCUUAGGUAGUUUUUAUUCU